This is a long non-coding RNA of Psammomys obesus (fat sand rat), 178 nucleotides long. RefSeq lists it as uncharacterized. The transcript has 3 exons. The record is from RefSeq and is a predicted model, not a curated record. NCBI's taxonomy places the organism in Eukaryota, Metazoa, Chordata, Mammalia, Rodentia, Muridae.
AGGCUGUGGUUCUCUUGGUCCUUGGGACCUCUUCUUACACAGUCUUCAGGCACAAGUCCCCAAAGCAAUGGAGCCAACCAACUGUGGAUGAAAGCCUCUGCAACCACAGACAGAAAAGGCUGCUGGCUUCACAGACAGGGAGCCCUGUUGACUCUGGCAAGAGUGGAUGAUGCUAUCU